AACGAACGCUGGCGGCGUGCCUAACACAUGCAAGUCGAGCGGGAAAGUUCCCUUCGGGGAGCGAGUACAGCGGCGCACGGGUGAGUAACACGUAGGUAACCUACCCUGGAGACCGGGAUAACCUGCCGAAAGGCGGGCUAAUACCGGAUGAGACCACGAGGGCUGCGGCCCUUGAGGAAAAAGAUGGCCUCUACUUGUAAGCUAUCACUCCGGGAUGGGCCUGCGCGCCAUUAGCUAGUUGGGAGGU
RNAcentral lists this ribosomal RNA (247 nucleotides) under uncultured bacterium. Its description in RNAcentral is "partial 16S ribosomal RNA". It matches the Rfam family "Bacterial small subunit ribosomal RNA", at positions 29 to 257 of the family's 1533-position model. The record is from RNAcentral.